This 1089-nucleotide long non-coding RNA is filed under the name Oncorhynchus mykiss (rainbow trout). RNAcentral describes it as "lncRNA (ENSOMYG00000054302.1)". The record is from RNAcentral. Lineage: Eukaryota; Metazoa; Chordata; Actinopteri; Salmoniformes; Salmonidae.
AGCAGCUGCUCGGGACAGAGGGACAACUGCUCGGGACAGAGGGACAACUGCUCGGGACAGAGGGGCGAUAGCAGCUCGGGACAGAGGGGCGAUAGCUGCUCGGGACAGAGGGGCGGCAGCUGCUCGGGACAGAGGGGCAGCUGCUCGGGACAGAGGGACAGCUGCUCGGGACAGAGGGACAGCUGCUCGGGACAGAGGGGCGGCAGCAGCUUGGGACAGAGGGGCGAUAGCUGCUCGGGACAGAGGGGCGGCAGCUGCUCGGGACAGAGGGGCGGCAGCUGCUCGGGACAGAGGGGCAGCUGCUCGGGACAGAGGGACAGCUGCUCUGGACAGAGGGGCAGCUGCUCGGGCGGCCCCUGGCUGACUGACGGCACUGGCGGCCCCUGGCUUACUGGCGGCCCCUGGCUGACUGGCGGCACUGGCGGCCCCUGGCUUACUGGCGGCCCCUGGCUUACUGGCGGCACUGGCGGCCCCUGGCUGACUGGCGGCACUGGCGGCCCCUGGCUGACUGGCGGCACUGGUGGCCCCUGGCUGACUGGCGGCACUGGCGGCCCCUGGCUGACUGGCGGCACUGGCGGCCCCUGGCUGACUGGCGGCACUGGCGGCCCCUGGCUGACGGGCGGCACUGGCGGCUCCUGGCAGACGGGCGGCACUGGCGGCUCCUGGCAGACGGGCGGCACUGGCGGCGCUGGCGCCGCUGGGCAGACGGGCGGCGUUGGCGGUGCUGGGCAGACGGGAGGCUCAGCUGGCGCUGGGCAGACGGGAAGCUCAGCUGGCGCUGGGCAGACGGGAGGCUCAGCUGGCGCUGGGCAGACGGGAAGCUCCGGCAAUGCUGGAGAAGAGGAAGGCCCUGGUAGCGCCGGAGAGGCGGGAGACUCCGGCAGCGGCGCCGGACAGGCGGGAGGCUCCGGCAGCGGCGCCGGACAGGCGGGAGGCUCCGGCAGCGGCGCCGGACAGGCGGGAGGCUCCGGCAGCGGCGCCGGACAGGCGGGAGGCUCCGGCAGCGGCGCCGGACAGGCGGGAGGCUCCGGCAGAGGCGCCGGACAGGCGGGAAGCUCCGGCAAUGCUGGAGAAGAGGAAGGCCCUGGU